This 541-nucleotide ribosomal RNA is filed under the name uncultured bacterium. RNAcentral describes it as "bacterial SSU rRNA". It matches the Rfam family "Bacterial small subunit ribosomal RNA", at positions 28 to 546 of the family's 1533-position model. The record is from RNAcentral.
GACGAACGCUGGCGGCGUGCCUAAUACAUGCAAGUCGAGCGGAAUGAUUAGAAGUGCUUGCACUUCUAAUCAUUCAGCGGCGGACGGGUGAGUAACACGUAGGUAACCUGCCUGUAAGACUGGGAUAACUACCGGAAACGGUAGCUAAUACCAGAUUUUUUGUUUCCUCAUCUGAGGAGGCACUGAAAGGCGGAGCAAUCUGUCACUUAUAGAUGGGCCUGCGGCGCAUUAGCUAGUUGGUGAGGUAACGGCUCACCAGGGCGACGAUGCGUAGCCGACCUGAGAGGGUGAACGGCCACACUGGGACUGAGACACGGCCCACACUCCUACGGGAGGCAGCAGUAGGGAAUCUUCCGCAAUGGACGAAAGUCUGACGGAGCAACGCCGCGUGAGUGAUGAAGGUUUUCGGAUCGUAAAGCUCUGUUGCCAGGGAAGAAUAUUUGGGAGAGUAACUGCUCUCAAAGUGACGGUACCUGAGAAGAAAGCCCCGGCUAACUACGUGCCAGCAGCCGCGGUAAUACGUAGGGGGCAAGCGUUGUCC